GGGCCGGUGGCGCAGUCUGGUAGCGCGCCCGCUUGGCAUGCGGGAGGUUCGGGGGUUCGAAUCCCCCCCGGUCCA
Molecule: transfer RNA, 75 nt
Filed under: Thermoproteota archaeon
Lineage: Archaea; Thermoproteati; Thermoproteota
Description: tRNA-Ala
Rfam family: tRNA
About the family: Transfer RNA (tRNA) molecules are approximately 80 nucleotides in length. Their secondary structure includes four short double-helical elements and three loops (D, anti-codon, and T loops).
Source: RNAcentral